UACAGAGGUCUCAAGCGUUGUUCGGAUUCAUUGGGCGUAAAGGGUGUGUAGGUGGCGCCGUUAGUCGGGUGUGAAAUUUCGGAGCUUAACUCCGAAACUGCAUUCGAUACUGCGGUGCUUGAGGACUGGAGAGGAGACUGGAAUUCAUGGUGUAGCAGUGAAAUGCGUAGAGAUCAUGAGGAAGACCAGUGGCGAAGGCGGGCCUCUGGACAGUUCCUGACACUGAGACACGAAGGCCAGGGGAGCAAACGGG
Molecule: ribosomal RNA, 253 nt
Filed under: uncultured bacterium
Lineage: Bacteria
Description: partial 16S ribosomal RNA
Rfam family: Bacterial small subunit ribosomal RNA
Source: RNAcentral